RNAcentral lists this transfer RNA (70 nucleotides) under Bavayia occidentalis. Its description in RNAcentral is "tRNA-Ala". Lineage: Eukaryota; Metazoa; Chordata; Lepidosauria; Squamata; Diplodactylidae. The record is from RNAcentral.
GAGGCCCCUCCCUUAGUUAAAGUGUCUGAGUUGCAUUCAGGAGAUGUAUAUUAGAAUUAUACAGGCUUUC